CUUCUUUAUCCAUUCCUCCAUUGAUGGCCAUUUAGAUUGCUUCCAUGUCUUAACUGUUGUGAACAGUGCUGCUGUGAACACUGAGGUGCAUAUAUCUUUUCAAAUUAUAUUUGUCUCUGGAUAGAUGCCCAGGAGUGGGAUUGCCGGAUAAUAUGGUAGUUCUAUUUUUAGUUUUUUUGAGGAAACUCCAUACUGUUUUCUAUAGUGGUUGUCCAAUUUACAUUCCCAGCAACAGUGUAAGAGGAUUCCCUCUUUUCUGCACCCUCUCCAGUGUUUAAUGUUUGUAGACUUUGUGAUGAUGGCUAUUCUGACUAGUAUAAGGUGGUACUCAUAGUAGUUUUGAUUUGCAUUUCUCUGAAAAUUAGUGAUGCUCUGCAUAUUUGUGUGUGUGUGUUUUGCCAUCUAUAUGUCUUCUUUCCUCCUUAAAUUCUUUACCAAAAUAAAUGACAGUGUAGCCUGGGCUUGCUUUUUCAAAUUCUUUAAUUUCUUUCUUUUAAUUACUCUUUAUAAGCAGGAAAUGAUUAGUGCCUGAUGAAGUUGUUCUUUCUACAGUCACCUCUUAAUUGCCAAUAGAUCUGCUCUUUGGAACCUCAUCUUACUCAUUUUUUGCCUUUGAUACUAUUGAUCCCCCUCUCCAUAACAAAUUUGCACCAUUAUUUUUUAAGAUUUUUUUCCUAAAAAUUUUAUCCACAUCUGAAAAUUGCUUUUGAGAGUCUUUUAAAAGCUUCUCCUCCUUUCCUUGUCCUUUAUAUUUUUGUAUUCCCCAGAGUUCAAUUCUUUGAUUCUCUUUUUUUAUUCUAACUUUUCUCACUCUAAUACCCCUGGAUAUCAUUUUGUAUUUUCAAUUGCCAUGUUAACCUAUAUAUCCUGAAGCUAAUUCAGAAUUAAUGUUAAAACCAAAUGUGUUACUUCUCCUCUCACAGCAGCUUUCUAUUCUAAUAUUUUACAUUUGAAUGAAAUUAUCAUGGUCAACAUCAUCUUUUAAUCUUGAAUCUUGGGGAAACACUAGGCUUUGUGCUUUUCCUUCUCCCCUCUUUCUUAACCUUCUUUAUCAGUUUUUACCUGAAAAAAACAUUGAAUUCUAGCUUUAAAAUGUAUUAACUUUAGUUCUUCUUUUUAUUCUUUCUAAUUUUGCCUUUGGAAACUUCAUUGUUUUUUUUUUUCCUUUGAAUAAGCCACUUUAUGUGGUUUUCCUAUAUAUACUCUCACCCUCAUUUAAACCAUUCUCCAUGUUGCCUCCUGAGUUAUUGUCAUUUCUCUGUCAAAAAUUCUUUUUAGUCUCUUUAAUGCCCCGGGAGUAGAUUCAAGUUCCUUGACUUGCCUGAGAAAACUUUUUGCAAUUUAUUCCCCACCCAAUUUUUGGUCUCAUUAUCUACUAGCCUGUGUAUACAACUUUAUUCUGGCUAAGCUCCUUUCUUCAUUUCGCUCAUGUGGGUCACACUGCCAUUAAACCUACUUUGUUCCUUCUCUGUCUUUCAGCAGAUUCUUCUUUCCUUUUCAAAGCCUAGCCCCAAUAUCUGUUGCAUUUUGCAACUUCUCAGUGGUGAAUGAACAUAGAUAUUGAUUUAGAAAAUCAAGAAAGGUUUUUUUUUUUUUUUGAGAAAAUGAGUAUGACUAGUAUAGCUUUAACUUUCACAAGGAUUUUUAAAAGCCAUGCUUUCUCUUUGACCUGACUCUGCUAUGUCUUAAGCAAAUGUAAGGAUGUUUCAUUUUGCAUUUUAUCUAGGCACACAUUUCAAUAAUGUAUUAUUUAUCAUGAGUCUAUGAAUUGCCUGAGCUAGGCUCAGGUGAUUUUGGUUGGGCUGAAUCAUCUUUGGUCACCUGGAGUUGGGUGUAGAUGCAUUGAUAGAGGUGAUUCUGCUGAAUAAAUUGAUUCUGCUUCAAGUUGAAUCUCAUCCUCUAGAAGGCUGGCCUGUGCUUGAUCUUAUGGUAGAGACAGGGUUUCUAAGAAAGGGUUAAGAUGCACAAAGAUUCUUAUAGCCUAGAUUUUGAACUGGCACUCUGCCACUUCCAUUUCAUUCUGUUGGAUAAAGGAAGUUCCAAAGCCACCCUGGAUUCAAAGGGGUAGUAAGGAGGAGAUUCUGAGCUGUGUUGAAAGGAGAGCUGCAAAGUACCAUUAGAGAGAAGGACUUAAAAAUCUGGGCAUUUUUUUGCAGUUCAAUCUGUAAUAAACUAGAGGGGAUAUUUUAAAAUAUGACAUACCAAUUCCAUUCUAUAAUUGUUGGAUCUUUUAGAAGUGAAUGAGUAGAAAGGAUAACAUAAAAAUAGGAUAGGAAAAUAUGUUGUUGUUAUACUAUGUUAUGCGUUGUACGUUGUAAACCUGGGUUACUCUUCGGAUUUCAGAUAUUAUGAAAUUUUAGAUUAUAAAUUAUAAGGCUUAAAGUUUGAUUCUUAAUAGCAAAUUUAAAGAAUUUGAAAAGAUUAAAAAUAUAACACUAAAUAAAAACUAUUGGAAAUAAAAGUUAUGCUUAAGUGCAUAUUCAAUGUGAUAAAGGGAGUUGACAAUAAAAUAUCAUAGUUUGAGAAAGUCAAGAAAGGCAAUCUUAGAUUACUCUAAAAAUAUUAUUGACAGUGCUGCUGAAUAAUUUUGAGAACUCUUCUCUAGCAGCUAUGUGGAAAUUAUCUGCAAGAUGACUGGCUGCAGUUGAUAUUGUCAAUUUGUCCGUGGCAUGGCUUCCAGUACUGAGCACCUGAAGCUUGCAUUCAGCUGACAGAGAGUCAUGCUUCGCUGAAGUGGCAUUGGAAUACAAAUAAAUUGGAUACCACUUAGAGACCUGAAAUGCCACUGUGAGAUGAAAGGCAAACCCCACUGAAAGUGACAGCAAUAUUUUCUUUUCUAGCUAGGGAAAAUAUAUAGGAAAAAGAUGAGAGACCUUUUUAAUGGAAUAAAGAAAAAUGAUACUGCUUCUAUAUAACCCAAGCACCAUGGUUCUUAAUACAAUUCAGUAAAUGCCUCAAAAUAGAACUACAUUAAACCUCAAGGCAAUCAGAACACAAGUACUGGAUUGUCACAAUGUGGUAAAAGAAGUGAUAUCCAAAGCUAGCAAAGACACCUAUAAGAACUAUGAAGCAUCAAUGAUUUUGGAGUCAUUUGACAGUCUUUUGGACAAUGCAUAUUGAAUUGAAUGUGUUGUCAUCCUCAUUGAAUAUUUUGUGUGUGUUUCAAAAUGUGCUGAAAGAUAGAUUUCUUCUUUUCUUAAUAAACUAUAAGUUAAUUGAUCUCAAGACACUGACUUCACAUCAAACUUAAAAUCCUGACAUUUUAUACACAUAAGCCACAGACUGCUAAAUAGUCUCAUAGAAAUGCACGCUUCAUUUUUAAACUAAUCAAGUAUGUCUUGCUCAUUUCUCAAGACAUGGUGGCAUAUUAAAUCUCUAAAGGUUUAGCCAUUAGGCUUUUGAGAUAUGAGUCUCAAGUAGUUGGCAGGAAUGGCAUAUUAGCUACAGUAGAAUAAAUCUCAUUUGAGUUUUAUUAAAUUGAAUGUGUUAUUAUAGUUUAAUCAUCAAAUUCUCUUAUAGCUAUUUUUACACAUCCAUUGUCUUGACAUAAAACACGUAUAUUUUUAAUAUACUUAUAUAUGCUUAAGGGCUCAUAUAUAUUCUAUAUAAAUAUUCUGCCUGUGUGCAGGAAAAAAUGUACUAUUCCUGCAGCUCUCUCUAUAUAUCAAGAUUAUCUUAGCAGUUUGACUAGCUUUCUAAUAUUGAAAAAAUUUCUUCUAAAAAAUUUUUGAGCAUUUUUGAUUGUGUUUAAGUAACACAAGCACGUACUAACAUACCAUAGAGUAGCAAUAAGUAUUCGUUUUACAGUUGCCAGUGAUGAUAUUUGUUUUUCUACUUAUGAGUUUUUAUUGCUUGAGCUUUAUGUGUACACAGAAAUGUGUUGACUAAGUCUUGCUCAGACUGUUAAAUUUAAUUUUUAUGAAUUUAAGAACAUCGAAUUUAAUUUUUAUGAAUUUAAGUACAAAUAUAUCUUUACUUACUAAUGGCCAAAUGAAGACAGAAUAUUUAUUAUAAACAAAUAGAUUUAGUUAUAGAAAUACAAAAAUGUAUAAAUAAUUGAGUAUAAUUGUAUAAUUGCUUCUGCAGGAUACGGACUUCUAGUAGUGUUUCAGGCCCUUGUCUGAUUGGAUGGGCUGAAUGAAGGUGGGGAUAGAGAGGUGACUUCUAGGCUUUUCAGAUAUAGCACCUAGGCAAGCAGCCACUCACUUCUGCUACAUAUGAGGAAAAAAAACAUUAUAUUUCUCAGGUGUUUAUCAUGUCUCAGGAGUGCUAAAAUUAGGAUCUCCUCAUAUAAAUGUUUCAAAGCUAUUUUCUCACACUGCUUUUUUACUCCAUGACAUUCUUCAUAAUAGCAUAUUAUGAAGAAAGAGAUUUGUUACUCAUCAAAAUCUUGGUUAUAGAUGUAAAUAGUGAUUUGACCUUGGAAACUUUAUGUUCCUGAUUUUCAUUAUUUGUAAGGUAAAGGUAAGAUGAAACUAGCCAUCAAUAAAAUUUGCAUAGUGUAAACAUUCAUUGAUUAUAUUAAGGUUUCCAGUAGAGAAUAACAUAUUUAAGAAUUUAAUGAACUAAUAAUGUGGAACUCUAUCUAUCUAUCUAUCCAUUCAUCUAUCUAUCUAUUGACUGAUUGAUAGAUGCAUGGAGAAUACAUAGGGAAAGAAAGAAUAUUACCAUUGUCCGUAUGUAAUUCCCACUGCCUCUACAAAACACAUAUGUAGAGGGGAAUGUGCAUAAGCAUUUGUAUAGGAAGUGGGAGUUACAUAUGGAUGAAGGUAACGCUUUUUGGUAAGAAGCUAGAUUUUUUUUUUUUGGCCUUUUCUAGGCCGCUCCCUUGGCAUAUGGAGGUUCCCAGGCUAGGGGUCUAAUUGGAGCUGUAGCCACCAUCCUACGCCAGAGCCACAGCAAAGCGGGAUCCCAGCUGUGUCUGUGACCCACACCACAGCUCACAGUAAUGCCGGAUCCUUAACCUGCUGAGCAAGGCCAGGGAUUGAACCUGAAACCUCAUGGUUCUUAGUCGGAUUCAUUAACCACUGAGCCACGAUGGGAACUCCGAAGCUAGAUUUUUUUUUUUUUUUUUAACAUAGCUCAUCCUGACUACUCAUCGGGAUUUAGAGAAACAUAAAUGAUAAAUUAGUUUUGGGUUUCAUGCAGUUUUUCCUUGUUUAACCCAUCCUAUCACAUCGUAUUCCUAUUGUAGUAACACACAUGGAGAAAGUAAAUUACUUUUGACAUUUUAACAUCCUUGAAGCACAGCAUAAAUCUAGAUUAUAGUGUAGUGCCACCAUUUUCUCUCUACUCUCUCCUCUGUCUUUUCUCUCCAGCAUUUAUUUGCCCUUUUCCCAUUAUAAGUUUUUUUCUUCUAGCUCCUUGUUCUCCUCACUUUACUCAUUCAAUUUCUUUCUUUCUUUCUUUCUUUCUUAGAUUUUGGAGCAAGGUGAAACGAAAGGCUCAGGAACAAGGAAAUAGAAGGAAAGUCAAUUUCAGAACAGGAGUAAAGAUAGCCAUUGUCUACUACCUCCUGUAAGCAAGGAUGACAUGAGAGAGAAGAUAAAGCAAAAGCAAAUACUCUUCCUAAUUCAAUGGGCUCUAACAUAAGUACUUGAAUCUUCAGGAUUAUUUAUAAUAAUGCUAUGUUAGGAAAACCGCAUAUGUUGGAAACAAUGCUGAUGAGUUCUACCACAGUAGAAGAUUAAUGCUGCCCUGUGAAGAUUUUCAAAUAUUACCAAAACCUAUUGGGACAAAUCAUAUGGUUUCCUUCUUCUGUGUUUUAACAUUAAGAUACCUCAGCUGUGGAAGUUCCUAUUGUGGCUCAGUGGUUAACAAACCCAACUAGCAUCCAUUUGGAUGUGGGUUUGAUUCCUGGUCUUGCUCAGUGGGUUGAGGAUCUGGUGUUGCCAUGAGCUGUCAUGUACACGCGGCUUGGAUCUUGUGUUGCUGUGGCUGUGGCGUAGGCUGGCAGCUGUAGCUCCAAUUGGAUCCCUAGCCUGGGAACCUUCGUAUGCUGUGUGUGUGGCCCUGAAAAAAAGACAAAAGGCCAGAAAAAAAAAGAUACAUCAGCCAGCUAGUUGAUAUAGUAUCAUAUUGGGCCUAUCUUACAAUCUCUUGGGAGUGCUUUAAAAAAUAAUUAGGACCCACCUCGGACCCAUGAAAUCAGAAUUGCCAGGUUGUAUCACUAUUUUUUUAAAGCUCCACAAGUAAUUCUAUUUUACAGUUAGAUUUGAGAACUGCUGAAUUAUGAGAAUGAAAAAAGAAAGGAAUAGUUUCAUCCUAGAUCUCCUCCAAAUGCCCUAGGAGAAGUAAUAAAUUUCAGUACUCUGCAGCAAAAUGAAAGUAUGCCUAUUUAUUGAAUGCACUGGAUGCUGGUAGCCAGAACCCCCAUUCUUCCAGGAGAUAAUCUGUCUAGGCAGAUUGUGGUUAUAAGCACAAGAGACCUAGAAUAUCAUGUUUUCCAACCACAUAAGAAGUACAUGGCCUAGUCUGCUUACCACAUGGUAGAAGGAGUCUCAGAAGAGCCAGAGUGAGACCACAUGAUGUGAUAAAAUUUUUCUAUAGAAUUCUGCCUCUGGUUAAUGUGGUAUAUUGGAUGAUGUUUUCCCAGCUGUCUCAGGUUAUCACUUCUCCCAAGCAGUAAAGAAAAUGAAGAGUUCCUGCUGUGGCACAGUGGGUUAAGAAUCUGUCUGCAGUUGUUCAGGUCACUGUGGAGGUACAUGUUUGAUCCAUAGCCCAAUGCAGAGGGUUAAAGGAUCUGGCAUUGCCACAACUGGAGUGCAGGUCACAGCUGCAGCUCAGAUUCA
Molecule: long non-coding RNA, 6791 nt
Filed under: Sus scrofa (pig)
Lineage: Eukaryota; Metazoa; Chordata; Mammalia; Artiodactyla; Suidae
Description: lncRNA (ENSSSCG00000061325.1)
Source: RNAcentral